RNAcentral lists this ribosomal RNA (798 nucleotides) under Marasmius trinitatis. RNAcentral's name for it is "partial large subunit ribosomal RNA". It matches the Rfam family "Eukaryotic large subunit ribosomal RNA", at positions 104 to 891 of the family's 3401-position model. The record is from RNAcentral. Lineage: Eukaryota; Fungi; Basidiomycota; Agaricomycetes; Agaricales; Marasmiaceae.
AAAGCUCAAAUUUAAAAUCUGGCAGCUUCGCUGUCCGAGUUGUAAUUUAGAGAAGUGUUGCCCGCGCUGGACCGUGUAUAAGUCUCCUGGAAUGGAGCGUCAUAGAGGGUGAGAAUCCCGUCUUUGACACGGACUACCAGGGCAUUGCGGUGCGCUCUCGAAGAGUCGAGUUGUUUGGGAAUGCAGCUCUAAAUGGGUGGUAAAUUCCAUCUAAAGCUAAAUAUUGGCGAGAGACCGAUAGCGAACAAGUACCGUGAGGGAAAGAUGAAAAGAACUUUGGAAAGAGAGUUAAACAGUACGUGAAAUUGCUGAAAGGGAAACGCUUGAAGUCAGUCGCGUUGCCCGGGGAUCAGCCUUGCUUUUGUGAGGUGUAUUUCCUGGUUGACGGGUCAGCAUCAGUUUCGACCAUUGGAGAAAGGCUUGAGGAAUGUGGCACCUUUGGGUGUGUUAUAGCCUCUUGCUGUAUACAGUGGUUGGGACUGAGGAACUCAGCACGCCGCAAGGCCGGGUUUCGACCACGUUCGUGCUUAGGAUGCUGGCAAAAUGGCUUUAAGCGACCCGUCUUGAAACACGGACCAAGGAGUCUAACAUGCUUGCGAGUGUUUGGGUGGAAAACCCGAGCGCGUAAUGAAAGUGAAAGUUGAGAUCCCUGUCGUGGGGAGCAUCGACGCCCGGACCUGAUGUUUACUGACGGAUCUGCGGUAGAGCACGUAUGUUGGGACCCGAAAGAUGGUGAACUAUGCCUGAAUAGGGUGAAGCCAGAGGAAACUCUGGUGRAGGCUCGUAGCGAUUCUGACG